AACUCUGUGCCAGCAGCCGCGGUAAUACAGAGGUCUCAAGCGUUGUUCGGAAUCACUGGGCGUAAAGGGUGCGUAGGUGGCGUGGCAAGUCAGAUGUGAAAGCCCGGGGCUCAACCUCGGAAUUGCAUCCGAUACUGCCAUGCUGGAGUACUGAAGAGGUGACUAGAAUUCUCGGUGUAGCAGUGAAAUGCGUAGAUAUCGAGAGGAAUACCAACGGCGAAGGCAGGUCACUGGGCAGUUACUGACACUGAGGCACGAAGGCCAGGGGAGCGAACGGGAUUAGAUACCCCGGUAGUCCUGGCAGUAAACGGUGCACGUUUGGUGUGGGCGCAAUCGACCGCGUCCGCGCCGUAGCUAACGCGUUAAGCGUGCCGCCUGGGAAGUACGGUCGCAAGAUUAAAACUCAAAGAAAUUGACGGGG
RNAcentral lists this ribosomal RNA (421 nucleotides) under uncultured bacterium. RNAcentral's name for it is "bacterial SSU rRNA". It matches the Rfam family "Bacterial small subunit ribosomal RNA", at positions 499 to 918 of the family's 1533-position model. The record is from RNAcentral.